CGAACAUGUUCCCAGCUUUACUGUUCAACCAACUUCCACGGCGUCGUCAUCAACUCUAAUUAACUUUCGAGUUUUCUUCGUCCAACACAAAUUCCUGUGGAAAGUAAUAUUUCAGAUACCAAGUUGAGACAUAAGACAGAAAAAUGGCAUCUAUUGUCAACCGCCGCACACCCGUUGUCCUGGUCGUGGCCAUCCUAUCCAUGUAUUGUCUCCUCAGCCAUGCGCAACCUGACGUGCGGUGCAAAGGUGUCUUUACGGGCAACCCGCUUCCCAACACGCAAUGUAAGGAUGUCUGCGAUUUUCCAGUCACUUCAAGUGUUUUGCUCAGUUCGUUGGUUGUCAGAUGUCCCGACGCUCAGAAGUGUUGCACCACCAUGGAAACCAUCCCAGGACCACUUCCAUCCGCACCGGUGUAAAUCGUUUGGUCACUGUCCAACGGACAAAUUAAAAUUUACUUUGAACAAUAUGCCAGUCAACUGACUAAUUACAUACAUACAUCAAAAUGCUUCUUAAUACUUGUGCAUUUGUAGGUUUUUCUCAUUAUGGGCUUCAGUAAUCUCAAGUAGAUACGACGAACAUUAAGAAUAAAUAUGUUUCCAAAUCUA
This is a long non-coding RNA of Folsomia candida, 605 nucleotides long. RefSeq lists it as uncharacterized. The record is from RefSeq and is a predicted model, not a curated record. Lineage: Eukaryota; Metazoa; Arthropoda; Collembola; Entomobryomorpha; Isotomidae. The transcript is spliced from 3 exons.